GACGAACGCUGGCGGCGUGCUUAACACAUGCAAGUCGAACGGAAAGGCCCUGCUUUUGUGGGGUGCUCGAGUGGCGAACGGGUGAGUAACACGUGAGUAACCUGCCCUUGACUUUGGGAUAACUUCAGGAAACUGGGGCUAAUACCGGAUAGGAGCUCCUGCUGCAUGGUGGGGGUUGGAAAGUUUCGGCGGUUGGGGAUGGACUCGCGGCUUAUCAGCUUGUUGGUGGGGUAGUGGCUUACCAAGGCUUUGACGGGUAGCCGGCCUGAGAGGGUGACCGGCCACAUGGGGACGGAGAAACGGCCCAGACCCCUACGGGGGGCAGGAGGGGGGAAUUUUGCAAAAGGGGCGGAAGCCUGAGGCAGAAACCCCGGGGGGGGGAUGACGGCCUUCGGGUUGGAAACCGCUUUCGCCUGUGACGAAGCGGGAGUGACGGUAAUGGGUAAAGAAGCACCGGCAAACUACGU
This 467-nucleotide ribosomal RNA is filed under the name uncultured bacterium. RNAcentral's name for it is "partial 16S ribosomal RNA". It matches the Rfam family "Bacterial small subunit ribosomal RNA", at positions 28 to 506 of the family's 1533-position model. The record is from RNAcentral.